GACGAACGCUGGCGGCGUGCUUAACACAUGCAAGUCGAACGGAAAGGCCCUGCUUUUGUGGGGUGCUCGAGUGGCGAACGGGUGAGUAACACGUGAGUAACCUGCCCUUGACUUUGGGAUAACUUCAGGAAACUGGGGCUAAUACCGGAUAGGAGCUCCUGCUGCAUGGUGGGGGUUGGAAAGUUUCGGCGGUUGGGGAUGGACUCGCGGCUUAUCAGCUUGUUGGUGGGGUAGUGGCUUACCAAGGCUUUGACGGGUAGCCGGCCUGAGAGGGUGACCGGCCACAUUGGGACUGAGGUACGGCCCAGACUCCUACGGGAGGCAGCAGUGGGGAAUAUUGCACAAUGGGCGGAAGCCUGAUGCAGCAACGCCGCGUGCGGGAUGACGGCCUGCGGGUUGUAAACCGCUUUCGCCUGUGACGAAGCGUGAGUGACGGUAAUGGGUAAAGAAGCACCGGCUAACUACGUG
RNAcentral lists this ribosomal RNA (468 nucleotides) under uncultured bacterium. Its description in RNAcentral is "partial 16S ribosomal RNA". It matches the Rfam family "Bacterial small subunit ribosomal RNA", at positions 28 to 507 of the family's 1533-position model. The record is from RNAcentral.